RNA transcript from Antechinus flavipes (yellow-footed antechinus), 2818 nucleotides. It is a transcript of the gene named cell division cycle 45, with no coding region annotated. Lineage: Eukaryota; Metazoa; Chordata; Mammalia; Dasyuromorphia; Dasyuridae. The transcript is spliced from 20 exons. The record is from RefSeq and is a predicted model, not a curated record.
GCUGUAGGUUCCGGGCUCCGUGCCUUUGCUCCCAGCCUAGGUCAGGGUCCGGGACCGGGUCCGAGUCUGAGUCCGGUUCUGAUUCUGGGCUGGGCCGGGCUAGAGCCCACGGCCCCCCGCCCGCGCCAUGUUCGUGACUGACUUUCGCCGAGAUUUCUACGACGUGAUUCAGACAGAGCGAGUUCUCCUCUUCGUUGCUUCUGAUGUCGAUGCGUUAUGUGCCUGCAAAAUUCUUCAGGCCUUGUUCCAGUGUGACCACGUCCAGUACACCUUAGUUCCCGUUUCCGGGUGGCAGGAACUCGAAACCUCAUUUCUGGAACACAAAGACCAGUUCCACUAUUUUAUUCUCAUAAACUGUGGGGCCAAUGUUGACCUCUUAGAUAUCCUGCAGCCCGAAGAGGACAGGAUUUUCUUCAUUUGUGAUACCCACCGGCCCGUCAAUGUCGUGAAUGUUUACAAUGACACCCAGAUAAAGCUGCUCAUUAAACAAGAUGACGACCUGGAGGUCCCCGCUUACGACGACAUCUUCAGAGACGACGAAGAGGAGGACGAGGAGGAUGAAGAGCAGUCGGGCAGUGAGAGCGAGGGCUCAGAGCCUUCUGGGAAACGCACACGGCGUGAAGAGGACGUGAUCGAGCGCACCCUGAAGAGGAGGCAGCGAAGAGAGUGGGAGGCCCGCAGGAAGGAAAUCCUCUUUGACUACGAGCAGUAUGAGUACCACGGGACCUCAUCCGCCAUGGUGAUGUUUGACCUGGCCUGGGUCAUGUCGAAGGACCUCAAUGACAUGUUGUGGUGGGCCAUUGUGGGGCUGACUGACCAGUGGAUACAAGAUAAGAUCACUCAGAUGAAAUACGUGACGGACAUAGGGAUCCUGCAGCGCCAUGUCUCCCGCCACAACCACCGCAACGAGGACGAGGAGAACUCCCUCUCCAUCGACUGCACGCGGAUAGCCUUCGAAUACGACCUGCGGCUGGCCCUCUACCAGCACUGGUCCCUGUACGACAGCCUCUGCAACACGUGCUACACGGCCUCCAGGCUCAGGCUGUGGUCGGUACAGGGCCAGAAGCGGCUGCAGGAGUUUCUGGCGGACAUGGGGCUCCCGCUGAAGCAGGUGAAGCAGAAGUUUCAGGCCAUGGAUGUUUCCCUGAAAGAGAAUCUGCGGGAAAUCCUCGAGGAGUCCGCCAACAAAUUUGGGAUGAAGGACAUGCGGGUGCAGACUUUCAGCAUCCACUUCGGGUUCAAGAACAAGUUCCUGGCCAGUGACGUGGUCUUCGCCACCACCUCCCUGCUGGAGAGCAUCGAGAAGGACGCCUCCGGCACGGACAACUUCAUCCGGGCCUUGGACAGCCUCUCCAGGAGUAACCUGGAGCAGCUCUACCAGGGCCUGGAGCUGGCCAAGAAGCAGCUGCGGGCCAUCCACCAGACCGUGGCCAGCUGCAUCUGCACCAACCUCGUCAUCUCCCAGGGGCCCUUCCUCUACUGCUACCUCAUGGAGGGCACGCCGGACGUCAAGCUGUUCUCCAAGCCGGCCUCCCUGGGCCUGCUCAGCAAGUACCUGCUGCAGUCCUUCAUUUGUUCGACCAAGAACAAGCGUUGUAAGCUGCUGCCCUUGGUGAUGGCGGCCCCCAUGAGUCUGGAGCGCGGCACCAUGAUUGUGGUGGGGAUCCCCCCUGAGACGGAGAGCUCCGACAAGAAGAACUUUUUCGGGCGGGCGUUCGAGAAGGCGGCCGAGAGCACGAGCUCCAGGACUUUGCACAAUCAUUUUGACAUGUCUGGCUCCCCAAUUCCCACGUUCUGACCCCCAAACCACGCCCGGAGUACAUGCUCUGCCUUACCAGGACCCUCCUAGCUCUUCCUAUCCUGCUUCUUCAUCCUUAAAAUGGGAGAAUCAAAUGUAAACUGCCUGCCUUCCCACACUGUCCCGAGGACAGAGCCUUGUCAGGCACAAAGCACUAUGGGAACGGGGGGCGGUUCUUCUCCUCCACCUGGGGGAGAGCACCUAGGAGUGGAAGCAGGUCCUGGGUCCCCACGCUGGCUCACCUGCUACUCCCCUGUGUGACCCUGGCUGACCAUAGACCUUCCUAGACCUCAACUUUCUCAUGUAAAAUGAGGGGGACCAGAGAGAUAAACCCCACAAGCUCCCUCCCAGCCCUGACACUCCCUGUUCAAGCCCCUCCCUCCCUGACACUCCCUGUUCAAGCCCCUCCCUCCCUGACGCCCCCUGUUCCAAGCCCCCUCCCAGCCCCAAUGUCCUCUGCUGUCCCACCCUGGGCCUGUGGUCCUCUCCCCGCUCCGAGCCUCUGAGGAGCGCGCUGUGGGUCCCAGCCAGGAGGGGGUGUCCUAGUCUUUCUUUUGAAGAAAGGCCCGGCUCCUGCGCGCAAGGCCGGGAGCUCCUCACUGACCCCGUCCGGGUUCCCUCCCCUCAGUCUGGGGCAGAGCCAGAGCCCAGCAGGGGCCCAGCGGCCGCUGUAACUGGGGGGCACCUUCCCCUGCGGGGCCUGGCUGCCCCCUUCACAUCCUCGGGCCUCCAGGCUUCGGUCAUUGAGCUCAAAGUGGAAGACCGAGGCAAGUUCCUGGACGCCCUGAUUUCCCUGCUCUCCUGAGGCUCUUGGAGUCCUCCCGACGCUCUUGGAGUCCUCCCGACGCUCUUGGAGUCCUCCCGACGGCUCUCUACGUUCGUCUGGAUUGUAAAUACUGGCUGCGCGUUUGUGCCGCUUUUAUGGACUUGCUUUUAGAGACUGUAAAUUAUUCCUGAGAUUUUAGCUCCAGGGAAGGCCAUUCUACCCUGGAAAUGCAAUAAAGUGUCCGUGGACUUGGA